UCUGGUGAUGAUGGCAUAGAGGAAACACUCCUUCCCAUACCGAACAGGAAAGUUAAGCUCUAUAGCGCCAAUGGUACUGCAUGGGAGACUGUGUGGGCCGGGGUUCGAUUCCCCGGUA
Molecule: ribosomal RNA, 118 nt
Filed under: Clostridium sp.
Lineage: Bacteria; Bacillati; Bacillota; Clostridia; Eubacteriales; Clostridiaceae
Source: RNAcentral